Arachis ipaensis is the source of this 905-nucleotide non-coding RNA. The record is from RefSeq and is a predicted model, not a curated record. NCBI's taxonomy places the organism in Eukaryota, Viridiplantae, Streptophyta, Magnoliopsida, Fabales, Fabaceae.
ACCUGUGUAACAAUUGCAUACAGUGGUAGGGUACUGUAGCUACAUAGUACCUGGAUAAAUACUCUAUAACCCCAACACAAACGAGAAAGAAAGAAAAAUGAGAAAAGGAAACAACUGCAGAGUCCGGAAUGCACAAUAUUACCCGAUAAUGAGCCUUGGAACUAUGUAACAAACUUGUCCCAUUAUACAAGAGUCAAAUCCAUAUGUAACCUGAGAACACAAGCUAUAGGUUAUAUUCACUACAACAAAGUAUAACUAUCCUCAACCCAACAUAUACCUUUCCCUAAAACAAGGAAACUGAGAGUAAGCAUACGGAAUAAAGUUCACAGAAAAUGUCACAAAUAAAAUUAUGCUCACCCAUAUCCAAAAGAAAAAUGCUAUCUCAAAAGCAUUUUGGAAAAGGAUAAAGUGGAUCAAGAAGAGGACAAAGUGGGGGCGAUGAAACCAAAAGUGAUCAUCUGAUGGUUGUACAACUAAUUCACCUUCUAUGGCUGCAUGCUUUUCAGCUACUUCAUGAGCUAGUUGCGUUAUCACAUGCUCCAGCUUAGUGCCAACGGCAAGUAGAAGCUAAAAGAAUGCAAUCCAGAAGAGGAAAGAUAUAAGCAGUGGAGACAAGCAAAAGGAAAAAAAAAAAAAAUCAUAGGGUCCUUCAACCUAUCAAGUUGAAAGCACAAAUAUAUAGACAUGCCAACAUAAACAGAGUUAACAUGUAAUAUAGGCAAUGCAAAAAUAAAAUAAAAUAAAAAUGAAAGAAAGAAAGAAAGAAAGAAAGAAAGAAAGAAAGAAAAGAUAACAGGUCAUAUUCAUAGUCAAAUUGCAACAAACCUGAAUUUAAAAGAUGUUUAUACCAGUCUUCUAGCAACAGGAAACCAAGGUAUGGCUUUAUGUUGAUAGAUUCAAUAGUU